GCGCUCAUAGUUCAGUUCAGUAGAACGUGGGUUUCCAAAACCUAAUGUCUUAGGUUCAAAUCCGACAGAGUGUG
RNAcentral lists this transfer RNA (74 nucleotides) under Solanum lycopersicum (tomato). It matches the Rfam family "tRNA". From Rfam's summary of the family: Transfer RNA (tRNA) molecules are approximately 80 nucleotides in length. Their secondary structure includes four short double-helical elements and three loops (D, anti-codon, and T loops). Further hydrogen bonds mediate the characteristic L-shaped molecular structure. tRNAs have two regions of fundamental functional importance: the anti-codon, which is responsible for specific mRNA codon recognition, and the 3' end, to which the tRNAs corresponding amino acid is attached (by aminoacyl-tRNA synthetases). tRNAs cope with the degeneracy of the genetic code in two manners: having more than one tRNA (with a specific anti-codon) for a particular amino acid; and 'wobble' base-pairing, i.e. permitting non-standard base-pairing at the 3rd anti-codon position. Lineage: Eukaryota; Viridiplantae; Streptophyta; Magnoliopsida; Solanales; Solanaceae. The record is from Rfam by way of RNAcentral.